This 758-nucleotide long non-coding RNA is filed under the name Mytilus galloprovincialis (Mediterranean mussel). The record is from RNAcentral. Lineage: Eukaryota; Metazoa; Mollusca; Bivalvia; Mytilida; Mytilidae.
GGUGAGGAGGCGGGGGUGGGUGGGCGGGAAUUUGCCCGAAAGUGGGUCAUCAGGUGCAAAAAGAGUCAAUUUUGCCUAUUUUUCGUUCUUUCUCUUGACCAAGAAGACCCAGGGAUGCUGGUAAAUGUAUCCAGCUGUAGCCUGCAUGUAGAUUGGACCCUAGUUAACGAAUUGACCCCAGCAGUUGUUAGGUCGGAGUGAAUCUGAUCUUGGUUCAGCAGUCUACAGAAGGUCAUUUGGACCAAAAAUACUGAAUUUCACGAUUUUUGCCGAUUUUUGACUUCAAAUGGACCCAAAACCGGAAGUAGUUGUUUCCUAUGCGUAUUUCAAUAAUAAUAACGAUCAGUAGUUAUAUGGCCGUGGGUUUGCACUAUUUUUGCAAGUUUUUUGCCUCUGAACUUUCUGUGUAAGAUACAGAUGUGAAGCCCACCCCUCCAGAAAACCGAGUUUUAGCCAAUUUCAAUUUUCCAAGUCCGUAUUUGUGCUCGAAAUGCUACUUAUACAUGAGAAACGUGAAUAUGGAUAGCCUCAGGUUGACGGAACAUCCAUAACUUUUAAAAUAAGUAUCAUAAAGUGGACUUCUAAAAGUAUGGAACGCCAUUGGAGCCAAAUAACGGUUAAUUGGGUACGCCCGUCAUAUGACGGUCACCGCAUGGUAAGGGUUAAACUUGUCAAUGAUAAAGCUAUGAAAAGUCAAGAAUUUUUUUCUUUGGUACCAAUUUUUCAUAGAUUAAUGAAAACUAUCAUUUUUUUCCCUG